Molecule: long non-coding RNA, 1064 nt
Filed under: Homo sapiens (human)
Lineage: Eukaryota; Metazoa; Chordata; Mammalia; Primates; Hominidae
Description: PREDICTED lncRNA (TCONS_00061641)
Source: RNAcentral
CUUUAGGAAGCGGAAGACUAAUGACCGAAGCUUCAAGACUUUGACAUGUGUGAAAACAUGAAAUGACCCUUGGCUCUUAUUGUUCUUGCUGGUGUGGUAUGUUCACGGCUGAAAAGAUGGUCAGAAGGGGAAAGGAGGAAGUGAGAAGAAAGAAACAGGGAAAUGACAGAGUGUUGCUCAGUUACCCAGGCUGGAGUGCAAUGGCAUGAUCUUGGCUCACUGCAGCCUCCACCUCCUGGGUUCAAGCGGUUCUCGUGCCUCAGUCUCCCAAGUAGCUGGGAUUACAGGCUGAGGAAUUACCAAGGAGGCAGGAGGUGGAGCAAAACACACCAAGCCUGGUGCCAAUCAUUGACAAUAUUAUGGUUAGUACUUACUGAGGGCUGACUAUGGUUGAAACUGCCUUUGCAAAAUUAUGACUGAGACGGUGAAAGAGAUCUAACUUAACCAACGCUAGCUAUCUUGCCUCUAACCUCCAAGCUGUCCUUGUUCAUUCCUGGGCAUAGGCUGAACUAACUUUGGGAGAAAUUUAGUUUAUAGUUUGAAACAAAGAUGAUAACAGCCCUUUGCCAAAGCAGACCUCCUUCUUGUCUGGGGACUAGAUGGCCUUUGUAGGACUAACAUGAGCCACAAGAUUAGAAAUUAUGGAUAGGAGUCAUGCAGCUGGAGUCUCCAAGAUUCUGACCCUCCCUAAACUGCUCCCAAGAUCAAUGCUUGAGAUAUUUUGCAGACCCUGCAUGUGAUGGAUCAGCUGACACCAUCCAGAUCGGUAAACUGGUUCAUCUGAUCUUGUGCCCUCCACCCAGGAACUGACUCAGCGCAAGAAGACAGCUUCGACUCCUUGUGAUUUCAUCCCUAACCAAUCAGCACUCCUGGCUCACUGGCUUCCCCCAACCCACCAAAUUGUCCUUAAAAACUCUGCUCUCCAAACGCUGGGGGAGACUGAUUUGAGUAAUAAUAAAACCCUGGUCUCCUGCACAGUUGGCUCUGCGUGAAUUACUCUUUCUCUAUUCCAAUUCCCUUAUUUUGGUGAAUUGGCUCUGUCUACGCAGUGGGCAAGGUGAACC